RNAcentral lists this ribosomal RNA (274 nucleotides) under uncultured bacterium. RNAcentral's name for it is "partial 16S ribosomal RNA". It matches the Rfam family "Bacterial small subunit ribosomal RNA", at positions 523 to 796 of the family's 1533-position model. The record is from RNAcentral.
AUACGGAGGAUGCAAGCGUUAUCCGGAUUUAUUGGGUUUAAAGGGUGCGCAGGCGGAAAAUUAAGUCAGUGGUGAAAUCCUACAGCUUAACUGUAGAACUGCCAUUGAUACUGAUUUUCUUGAGUGCAGUUGAGGUAGGCGGAAUGUGUAAUGUAGCGGUGAAAUGCUUAGAUAUUACACAGAACACCGAUUGCGUAGGCAGCUUACUAAACUGUUACUGACGCUCAGGCACGAAAGCGUGGGGAGCGAACAGGAUUAGAUACCCCGGUAGUCC